RNAcentral lists this unclassified non-coding RNA (337 nucleotides) under soil metagenome. Its description in RNAcentral is "partial contains 5.8S ribosomal RNA, internal transcribed spacer 2, and large subunit ribosomal RNA". The stretch from base 1 to 120 matches the Rfam family "5.8S ribosomal RNA", at positions 35 to 154 of the family's 154-position model. The record is from RNAcentral.
GAUGAAGAACGUAGCGAAAUGCGAUAAGUAGUGUGAAUUGCAGAAUUCAGUGAAUCAUCGAAUCUUUGAACGCACAUUGCGCCCCAUGGUAUUCCGUGGGGCAUGCCUGUUCGAGCGUCAUUUACCCCCUCAAGCUCCGCUUGGUGUUGGGCGUCUGUCCCGCUUCGCGCGCGGACUCGCCCCAAAGGUAUUGGCGGCGGUCGUGCCAGCUUCUCGCGCAGCACAUUGCGCUUCUCGAGGCACCGGUGGGCCCGCGUCCAUCAAGCUCACCCCCCCAGUUUGACCUCGGAUCAGGUAGGGAUACCCGCUGAACUUAAGCAUAUCAAUAAGCGGAGGA